This 3342-nucleotide long non-coding RNA is filed under the name Marmota monax (woodchuck). Lineage: Eukaryota; Metazoa; Chordata; Mammalia; Rodentia; Sciuridae. The record is from RNAcentral.
GCACUUGCCUAGCAUGUGUGAGGCCCUGGGUUUGAUCCUCAGCACCGCAGAAAUAAAUGAAUGGAGUAGGGGUAUUGUUUCCAACUACAGCAAAAAUAAAUAUUUUGUUUUAAAGAAAAGUGAAGUAUUGCUUUCCUCUCCUGGAGGAUAUCUUACUAAAUAUUUACUGGCACACCUCUAGUGUGUGAGUGAGUGUGUGUGUGUGUGUGUGUGUGUUCAGAAUGUAUGCAUACAUGUUUGUGUGAAGUAAACACAUUCAGGCAACAGUCUAUUUGAAUUCUCUACAUGUACUGUGAGUUGGGCAUCAGGGGUUAUGGACCCAUGUGUCUAUGCCGAGAUACUGCAUUGAUCUAAGCUGGGUUAGUUGACUUCCUUUUCAGGGCCACAGAAUCCUCAUAAAUGCUGAUUUCGGUUCCUCUUUGUGGGGACAGAUUCAGUGAGGUCUGUUCCUGAAGCAGGAACAUAAUUCUUCACCAUUUGUGUGGUCCUGGAUCUAGGUCAUGAAAUGGUUAGCAUGGUGGGCAGAUAGCUAUGGAUAGCAGAACGUUCAUAGCGUUGGCUACAUCAUGGGCAGAAGUCAUAAAGUUGUGUGAUUUCUUGGGCAUGAGGUGAGAUGGGAGAUGUUCUCUCCAUGCACAACCUUCUGAUAAGGAGCUGGGCAGCUACAGGGGCUGUUGGCUUCUCUGGGACACAGCUGGUGGCAGAGACACCUGGUUUCUUGGGUUAAGCUGUCGAAAGCCUGCAAAAUCUGUGCCUCAGCUACCAUGUGCCUCCCAAACCUCAUACACACACACACACACACACACACACACACACUCUAGAGGUAUGCUAGUAAGAUGUGCUUUAGGAGCAGGCAGAAGAGCCUUUACUUCUAGUUUACAGGAGUGUAACUCUCCCACCAUUCUUAAAUUUCACUACCAAACUGGUGCCACUAAACACAUUGUAUCACAGUGUUCAGUGAUGCACUGAACCUUGGGCAAGUAGCUUUGCUCAAGUGUCUUAACCUCUCUGAGCCUCAGCUUACUUUUCUAUAAAAUUAGAAUAAUAAAGCUAACUCUACAAGAUUGUGAAGAUUAGAGUUAAGGUGUAAAGUGCUUGGAGCAGUGAAUGGUGUGUUUUUAGUAACUGCCAAAAAUGUUUGGUAUCCUGUUUAUUGGUCCAUCCAGAAUAUAACUGUCCAUCUCCUUAAUACACCCCCCACUUUCCAUCCAUAUCAGUGCAUCAGCAUGUAUUUUAUGGCCCAUGGGGAACAUGGGAUCCCUGCUCUUGCUCCUAAAGCCCCAACUUCUACCUCUCCCUCCUAAGAACAUUGAGUUUAGCAUCUGUCUCAUGUAGGAUUGAUACCUCAGGGACAGGGAGCAGACCCAUUGACUUCAGAUCCUCCAGAGUAUCCUUCAGUGUCUGCAUUAAGUAAGCAAUGAAGAAUGAAAAGAGAUAAAGGAGGGUGUAUUUUUGACUUUCCAAAAGUUCAAGUAUGAUAACUUGCUCUUGGGUAAAAUUUGUUCCUCAGAGUAGACACCUAGUUGAGGGAGUGGCAGAAAUGACUUAGUUACUGACCUCAGUGCAUCUCUACCCUGCACCAUGUGUCUCAAUACAGCCUCCCUUCCAUCCUGGCUCUGGGCUUGCUGUGUGACCCUACCUUGCUUGGAGUCCUCCUUUUUCUUUUCUAUCAUUGACAAGAGGACAUCAUGAGUCUUAUUGCUGGAGGAUAUGGCCUUGGGAGAGCUGCAUGUCCCUAUCACUUGAGUGAGGCCAGAUUGGGGAAGGAGAGCUGUCUGGCAGAGCCAUCCCUAAUCCUGACCCUCAGAUGCCGUGCCUGAGAGGAUAAAUGCCUAUCAUUUAGAAUUGCUGAAUUUUACAGUGCUAGCCUACAAUAUUGGUUCACUAGGUAACUAGUACUCCCCAAAAUGAAUGCACACCAUAAGAUCAGAUUGCAGGUAUCCAGUGAAGAGAAAACCACAGAAGUUGGAACCAUUUAGUAUGAGGGAAUGUAUUCUUCCAUUUGCACUUUUCCUCAAGUCUAUAUUUGUAGCCCUUCCCUUCUUUCUGUAGAGACCCUGUCCUUUAAUUUAAUUGCUUACUGAUUCUCAUCAAAAACUCCAUGUGUGAAUCCAUAAUACAUACAUUUGUUUAUUGUCUAUUUUCUUCUGUGAGGUGAAAUAUCCAUAAGAGGGAUGGUCUUUCAGUGUCUCUUGGUGCUUAAUGAGUAAUCAUUGAAGGAAUCAAAGAAUGCUGUCUUAUGUUGAGUUCCUUGCAGUUCAGUCCCUGAGACAGUUUUGUAAGCAUGUUUUUUGUUUGUUUGUUCAUUUUUGUUUGUUUAAAUAUUCAAAGAGAGCAUAAUAAGGCUGAGGAGAAGUUGAAAUAUGACCCAGGCCCCCAAACAGUGUCAGCUAGCCUCUUGUGUCAGUGGAGGAUUAAUAUUGUCAUUAGGGGUGUGCUCAGCUUUUUAUUACCCAUUUAUCCAUGAAACCUCCCUAGAAAGUUGUAAGAGCUCUUGAGGGUGCUCUCUAUAGCUGCUGCAGAUGUCAAGGGAGCUGACAGUCAAGGUUGUGUCCAGCAGCAUUUCCAGAAAUUGGUAAAAGAGUCCCUUCAUUGAUAAUAGAUCCAAGUUGCAGAUGUCAGUAUCCAACAUAGUCUACUUCUGUUCAGCUCAAAUUCAUUACUUUCAUUUCCAUUCUGAGGAAGGAAAAACAAAUGUGUGUUUGUGUUCAGGAUUGUGGGAGUUUUUUGUAUGUUCAGAGUAUUUAGGUUUAUAUGUUUAGGUUUAUAUGUAUAAAUUUAGGGGCUUUGAGAACUGUGUACUAGAGGGUUAAAAGCUAAUAUAUAUAAAUUUUCAGUUGUAGAUGCAAACAAUUCCUUUAUUUAUUUAUUUUUUGUGUGGUGCUAAGAAUAGAAUCCAGUGCCUUACAUAAGCUAGGCAAGUUCUCUACCACUGAACCCCAGCCCCAGGCCCAGCCCCUAGCAUAUACAUUUUUGAAAUGAAAGAAUUUCAGGAGAAAAUUUGCUAGUUUUUGUUGAGCAUUUUACGUCAUGUGUGUGUGUUUCUCACUGUAUCCCAAUAGAGUCAAUGAGUUGAGAAGUAGUGAGAAUGAGCUUUAUUAGCAACAAGCUGGCCUGAUGGAAUGGAAGAUGGUAGGCUCAAAGGAACAUAUGAUGGUCCUAGGUGGGUGCAUCAGUUUUCUAGUGUUUCAGAAAAGUAGCCUCUUAUGGAGUGUGGGCUGUGUAUGUCUUAUCUUAUUCAUGUAUGUCACCAAGAGUUCCAGUCCAGUAGGUCUAAACAAGACUUAAGUGAUCAAAGUUUCUCCAUUAAAAUUCUUGAUUAGAGUGGUUUGUGGGUUUUGU